CCGCCCUGGGUAAGUCGGGACCUAAGGCGAGGCCGACAGGCGUAGUCGAUGGACAACGGGUUGAUAUUCCCGUACUGACGAAAAACCGCCCAAACUAAUCCAGUAAUGCUAAGAGUCCGAAUACCGGUGACCGAUCCCUUCGGGGAGGAGCUCCGGGGCUAGCACUCGACCCUAUGCUGGUGCGGUUAGCGUAUUAACAGGUGUGACGCAGGAAGGUAGCCGUACCGGGCGAUGGUUGUCCCGGUGUAAGGACGUAGGGCGAGAGAUAGGCAAAUCCGUCUCUCACAUAGCCUGAGAUCUGAUGCAUAGCCCUCACGGGCGAAUUCGGUGAUCCUAUGCUGCCAAGAAAAGCAUCGACGCGAGGUUCAAGCCGCCCGUACCCCAAACCGACUCAGGUGGUCAGGUAGAGAAUACCAAGGAGAUCGAGAGAAUCGUGGUUAAGGAACUCGGCAAAAUGCCCCCGUAACUUCGGGAGAAGGGGGGCCUGAGGCGUGAAGGCACUUGCUGCUGGAGCGUUUGAAGGCCGCAGAGACCAGUGGGAAGCGACUGUUUACUAAAAACACAGGUCCGUGCUAAGUCGUAAGACGAUGUAUACGGACUGACUCCUGCCCGGUGCUGGAAGGUUAAGCGGACCUGUUAGGCGCAAGCCGAAGCGGAGAAUUUAAGCCCCAGUAAACGGCGGUGGUAACUAUAACCAUCCUAAGGUAGCGAAAUUCCUUGUCGGGUAAGUUCCGACCUGCACGAAUGGCGUAACGACUUCCCAGCUGUCUCAACCGCGAACUCGGCGAAAUUGCACUACGAGUAAAGAUGCUCGUUACGCGCAGCAGGACGGAAAGACCCCGUGACCUUUACUAUAGCUUGGUAUUGGUGUUCGGUGUGGCUUGUGUAGGAUAGGUGGGAGACUGUGAAGCCCGGACGCUAGUUCGGGUGGAGUCGUUGUUGAAAUACCACUCUGGUCGUACUAGAUAUCUAACCUAGGUCCAUGAUCUGGAUCAGGGACAGUGCCUGAUGGGUAGUUUAACUGGGGCGGUUGCCUCCUAAAAUGUAACGGAGGCGCUCAAAGGUUCCCUCAGCCUGGUUGGCAAUCAGGUGGCGAGUGUAAGUGCACAAGGGAGCUUGACUGUGAGACUGACAGGUCGAGCAGGGACGAAAGUCGGGACUAGUGAUCCGGCAGUGGCUUGUGGAAGCGCUGUCGCUCAACGGAUAAAAGGUACCUCGGGGAUAACAGGCUGAUCUUGCCCAAGAGUCCAUAUCGACGGCAUGGUUUGGCACCUCGAUGUCGGCUCGUCGCAUCCUGGGGCUGGAGUAGGUCCCAAGGGUUGGGCUGUUCGCCCAUUAAAGCGG
This 1344-nucleotide ribosomal RNA is filed under the name Microbacterium sp. Its description in RNAcentral is "partial 23S ribosomal RNA". It matches the Rfam family "Bacterial large subunit ribosomal RNA", at positions 1370 to 2596 of the family's 2925-position model. The record is from RNAcentral. Lineage: Bacteria; Bacillati; Actinomycetota; Actinomycetes; Micrococcales; Microbacteriaceae.